CUAGAGAUGGAAGUAGCUUGGACGAUUUUCAUUAUCAUGUAAAUCGGGUCACUCAAGGGGCCAACCACAGCUGGGAGCCACUGCUCAGGGGAAGGUUCAUAUGGGACUUUCUACUGCCCAAGGUUCUAUACAGGAUAUAAAGGUGCCUCACAGUAUAGAUCUGGUAGCAAAGAAGAAGAAACAAACACUGAUCUCUUUCUGCCACCCCUCUGACCCUUUGGAACUCCUCUGACCCUUUAGAACAAGCCUACCUAAUAUCUGCUAGAGAAAAGACCAACAACGGCCUCAAAGGAUCUCUUACCAUGAAGGUCUCAGCUAAUUCUUGGCUAAGAUGUGGGUUCCACAUUAGGUUCUGAAUAUGGGGGGAAGGGUCAAUUUGCUCAUUUUGUGUGUGGAUAAAGUCAGGAUGCCCAGGGGCCAGAGCAGGGGGCUGCUGCUUUGGGAACAAUGGCUGAGCAUAUAACCAUAGGUAUGGGAACAAAAAACAUCAAAGUCACUGUAUCAAUUGCCAUGAAGACUCGAGGGACCUGAAUCUACCGAUUCAUCUUAAGGCAGCAGGACCAGUUUGAGUGGCAACAAUGCAGCAGCAGAAUCAAUGGAAACAACAGAAUGAUUGCAAUGUCCUUUUUUUUCUCCUCCUUCUGACUUGAUAAAAGGGACCGUCUUCCUUGGAUUUAGUGAACCCCUUUGGUUCCUGAAAAAUUCAAGGAGUAUCUAGGACAUAGUCCCCAGAAGACAGUACAAGACUUUCUGAUAAACUGGACAUUUCAAGACCCAAAUAACUAAUCAGAAAAAUCAAAGAUGUGAUACUAUUUUUUAUCCCAUGCAUAGGUGCUACACUUGGAUCAAAUGAACAAUGUUGGGAUCUCUAUGGAUAAAGGUCUUAAAAGUCCUGAGAUAAAGAAUCCUGCACCCACUGGUACUUCUAACUUGUCUUGUUUUUUGUCUGAUUUCUGGCUGAUGCAGGGGACUAACUCACUGCCACGCGAAAACUACCUGAACUGAACUAUGACAUCUCACCUGAUAUGUAAGAUGUAACUGUUAUAAUUAUUUUAAACCUCAAUUUAGCAUUAACUAGCCUUUUAAUGUAAACACUUACACAUUAUGACGACUAGAAACAGCAUACUCUCUGGCCGUCUGUCCAGAUAGAUCUUGAGAAGAUACAUCAAUGUUUUGCUCAAGUAGAAGGCUGACUAUACUUGCCGAUCCACAACAUACAGCAAGUAUGAGAACAGUUCUAAAAUGACAGAGAUAGGAACAGUAAUAAAGUUAUUUUAAAAGCUAAUUUGAUAUACUUUACCAAUUUAACAUCUUGCCUGUCCGUGCAGAAUCAAACAUUUACAUGCACUAAAAGACAUAAGCAUCUUCAGUGCUCAAGUGUUCAUCUUUGUAAAAUACCACCAAGGUUGAAAGGAAGGGACAAAAAAAAAAAAAACCCUCUUAUCUCAGUGGGGUAUUGCAUAGCAGAAGCUACUAAUUUAAAGUCCUUUGAUGGACAAGAAACAAUAUUAGGGCCACUUAUCUGAAAUGAACAAAGAUUUAAGUGAAGAUUUCAUCACAGCUUCCCUAGACUGAUAUGCUGUAAUAGAAAAUCAGCUAGGGGGUAAAAUAAAUAAGAGCUCUCUGCAUGCUGAAAGCAAGUAAGAUUAAUAAUAAUGGUAAGAAUAGUAGUCACAGGAGUUUCAGUUAAUGAUGCCAAUAAGCAUGUGCUAGGCACUGAAUUAAAUGCCACAUAUAUCUUUCUUAUGCACAGCAAACUUUGAAGGAUAUAUUCUCCUACUUUUCAUAUAUGACAACAUAUUUGGUGGUAAAUAACGUUCCCAAGGUCACACACCUAGCAAGUAAGAAAGUUAGGAAUUAAAACCAGUAUUGUGUGAAUCUAAAGCCUAACUUUUUUCUCUUUAUCACACCACUACGGCUUGUCUUCAUUAAAGGAAAAGUGUAUCCACUUAAAACUAUCUUCACUCCCUCUCUCCAUACCAAUUAAAAAUAAAAACAUCAAAAUACACUGGAAAUAAAAAAGGAAAAAAGCUGUUGAACCCACAGUACGUGGGAACAGCAAUUAAUUGUCAUGCAGGGAUAAGCUAACAUUAAUAUUCUUCAAAGAAAGCAACUUAAGGCAGAAUCAUUGAAAAGACAAAAGGAUUUUCAACCCCUAUUUAUGGUUAAUACAGCGUAUUUAGUGGAAAAGCAUGUAAGACACAGGUUAAAAACUAUUAGAAAGGGUUAAGAAGUUCAAUACUGAGUCAUAAAGUAAACUAAAAUUAAAGUUCAAACUUCAUAAAAUAUGAAAUCCCUUUAGCUAACAUAAGAUCAUAUAACCAAAAACAUUACAUAGCAAAUAACAUCAGUCAAUAUAAUAAAAGAUGAAUCCUAC
This 2377-nucleotide long non-coding RNA is filed under the name Homo sapiens (human). Its description in RNAcentral is "HSALNT0207606". Lineage: Eukaryota; Metazoa; Chordata; Mammalia; Primates; Hominidae. The record is from RNAcentral.